AUGAACGCUGGCGGCGUGCCUAAUACAUGCCAGUCGCGCGAACAGACGAGGAGCUUACUCCUCUGACGUUAGCGGCGGACGGGUGAGUAACACGUGGAUAACCUACCUAUAAGACUGGGAUAACUUCGGGAAACCGGAGCUAAUACCGGAUAACAUGUUGAACCGCAUGGUUCAACAGUGAAAGACGGUCUUGCUGUCACUUAUAGAUGGAUCCGCGUCGCAUUAGCUAGUUGGUAAGGUAACGGCUUACCAAGGCAACGAUGCGUAGCCGACCUGAGAGGGUGAUCGGCCACACUGGAACUGAGACACGGUCCAGACUCCUACGGGAGGCAGCAGUAGGGAAUCUUCCGCAAUGGGCGAAAGCCUGACGGAGCAACGCUGCGUGAGUGAAGAAGGUCUUCGGAUCGUAAAACUCUGUUAUUAGGGAAGAACAAAUGUGUAAGUAACUAUGCACGUCUUGACGGUACCUAAUCAGAAAGCCACGGCUAACUACGUG
RNAcentral lists this ribosomal RNA (496 nucleotides) under uncultured bacterium. RNAcentral's name for it is "partial 16S ribosomal RNA". It matches the Rfam family "Bacterial small subunit ribosomal RNA", at positions 29 to 507 of the family's 1533-position model. The record is from RNAcentral.